CUGAGCCCGAUCGAGAAAUCCGGGGAUCGCCGGUCUGAUGUCUUCGGGCGUCUCUCUGAGUGAGAACCGGCUUAAUCGCAUCAGUUUGAACCGGGCAAAAGUCGUAACAAGGUUGCUGUAGGUGAACCUGCUGCAGGAUCAUUA
Molecule: ribosomal RNA, 144 nt
Filed under: Radopholus similis
Lineage: Eukaryota; Metazoa; Nematoda; Chromadorea; Rhabditida; Pratylenchidae
Description: partial small subunit ribosomal RNA
Rfam family: Eukaryotic small subunit ribosomal RNA
Source: RNAcentral